Canis lupus familiaris (dog) is the source of this 1311-nucleotide long non-coding RNA. RefSeq lists it as uncharacterized. The record is from RefSeq and is a predicted model, not a curated record. The transcript has 4 exons. Lineage: Eukaryota; Metazoa; Chordata; Mammalia; Carnivora; Canidae.
UCCAAGCCCCCUGGAAACGGGAAGGCCCGCAGCUCCGCGGGCUGGCGGGGCAAGGGGGCCGGGGACAGAAUGGACUGGGGUUGGGGGCUCAGGGAGGCCUUGCCGGAGUGAGCCAUCUAAGGUGAACAAUGGGAAUGGAGGAGAGGUGGGGUGCCUGAGGAUUAGUGACUUCCAGGAACUGGGGAGUCUCUCAGGAUCGAGGUUGGGGCAGGGAGAGGUCAGGUUGGGCCAGUUAAGGAUUCACAUUUAUCAUGGGGGUGGUGGUGGUGGGAGAGUAGAAGGGAGGAGGAGGAUUCCACCCCGGAAUGGUGAACCCACUGCAGAGGGCCGGGUGGUUGCCCCUACGCGCACGGGCUCGGAAAUGUUCUCUCAACCUGGAACCCAGACAGUGCAGCUGGGAGAGGCCAGGCCUUCAACCUAGAACUCCUGGUGCCCCACCUCAGGAGCCAUACCCCGCUUUAGCACUUCUAGCAGGGGCGUAGGCUGCCACCCAUGGAUAUCUAGGGGGAAUUCUAUCAGUGCCCUUGACAGAGGCCUCUGGAGUCACAAGAGAGAGACUGCUGGCACCUUGGUCUCCCAUCCAGGCAGUGGACGCUGCCGGUCUCUUCUAGGAUGCCCAUGAUCACAUCCACCCUGGGCAGAGUGCCUGGAGUCACUUCUGGGCUGCUUGGCCGGGCACCGCUCUUCCCAAGCACCUGGGGAGUAUCUGCAGGAAAUAACCCUGUCAGCUGGGCUUGAGGCCUGAGACGGAUUCCGAAGCUCUUGGUGGGUGUUUCUGCACACCUGGAGCUGCAUUCUCUCUCUCUGGGCCCGAGGGAGCCCCGUGUGAGGCUGCAGCUGUUGUGGCCAGUUUCCAUCUCCAGGCUUCCAGGAUAAGCCUGAGUCGGGAACAUUCUCUCACCACCAGAGCGCCAAGGUGUCAGAGCUGCUUCCAUGAAAGGCUGGAAGGAGCGCCAGGGCAGGGCUCCCAUAUGCUGGGCAUGCUCCAGUCAGGUGGGCUCAGCUCUCUCUUGAGAGGCACCUCCCUGAGUCCUUGAAAGCACCUUCCACCCCCAACUACGGAAAGGCCACUGGAAGCUCAGAGCUAGCAUCCUGCGUAGGCUGGAGGGACGGAAAGCAGCCCCAAGACAAAUGACCACCCAGGACCAACGUCCAGCCAAACAGCAGCUUUAUUAGUGAUGCUGGAUUCUUGACACACCAACAGUGUGCACGCAAGUAUUCCCUAGGGAGCCUCUGGAGGCAGGGACAACACUGUAGCACUUACACAGGAGUGAUAGAAAUAAAGCUUUGGUGUGUAGGUUUUCAGGAGAG